AACAGGAUUAGAUACCCUGGUAGUCCACGCCCUAAACGAUGUCUACUAGUUGUUGGUGGAGUAAAAUCCGUGAGUAACGCAGCUAACGCGUGAAGUAGACCGCCUGGGGAGUACGGUCGCAAGAUUAAAACUCAAAUGAAUUGACGGGGGCCCGCACAAGCGGUGGAUUAUGUGGAUUAAUUCGAUGCAACGCGAAAAACCUUACCUGGCCUUGACAUGUAACGAACUUUCCAGAGAUGGAUUGGUGCUCGAAAGAGAACGUUAACACAGGUGCUGCAUGGCUGUCGUCAGCUCGUGUCGUGAGAUGUUGGGUUAAGUCCCGCAACGAGCGCAACCCUUGCCAAUAAUUGCCAUCAUUUAGUUGGGCACUUUAUUGGGACUGCCGAUGACAAAUCGGAGGAAGGUGGGGAUGACGUCAAGUCCCCAUGGCCCUUAUGGCCAGGGCUUCACACGUAAUACAAUGGUCGGUACAGAGGGUUGCCAAGCCGCAAGGUGGAGCCAAUCCCAGAAAGCCGAUCGUAGUCCGGAUUGAGGUCUGCAACUCGACCUCAUGAAGUCGGAAUCGCUAGUAAUCGCGGAUCAGCAUGUCGCGGUGAAUACGUUCCCGGGCCUUGUACACACCGCCCGUCACACCAUGGGAGUGGGUUUUACCAGAAGUAGGUAGUCUAACCGCAAGGAGGACGCUUACCACGGUAGUAUUCAUGACUGGGGUGAAGUCGUAACAAGGUAACC
RNAcentral lists this ribosomal RNA (732 nucleotides) under uncultured bacterium. RNAcentral's name for it is "bacterial SSU rRNA". It matches the Rfam family "Bacterial small subunit ribosomal RNA", at positions 771 to 1501 of the family's 1533-position model. The record is from RNAcentral.